AUUUUUAUAGCCUUUCUUCAAUCCCACACCAAAACCAACAUCAACAUCCAAAAGACCUCCCGAUCAAUGUUCGAGAGAUGCCAAAUCCGGCAAAUAAGGCCGAGAAUAAUACACUGAUCCCCAGCAAAGAAGAGGAUCGUAAGACUGGGAAUGAGUUGAUAGUCAAAAGAAUCCCCGGAAGAGAGGGUCGUAUCUACAACACCCCGGAUCCUCGAAAGAAAUAAAAUGAGAGAGUCUUAUCGGUGAAAACCUUCACAGGCACCGAGAGGCGAUGUAAGAUGAGGGAUAUGAAAUGAGAGAGUCUUAUCGGUGAAAACCUUCACAGGCACCGAGAGGCGAUGUAAG
Molecule: long non-coding RNA, 345 nt
Filed under: Nicotiana tabacum (common tobacco)
Lineage: Eukaryota; Viridiplantae; Streptophyta; Magnoliopsida; Solanales; Solanaceae
Description: long non-coding RNA (NTAB_LNC018541)
Source: RNAcentral